GACGAACGCUGGCGGCGUGCUUAACACAUGCAAGUCGAACGGAAAGGCCCUGCUUUUGUGGGGUGCUCGAGUGGCGAACGUGUGAGUAACACGUGAGUAACCUGCCCUUGACUUUGGGAUAACUUCAGGAAACUGGGGCUAAUACCGGAUAGGAGCUCCUGCUGCAUGGUGGGGGUUGGAAAGUUUCGGCGGUUGGGGAUGGACGCGCGGCUUAUCAGCUUGUUGGUGGGGUAGUUGCCUACCAAGGCAUUGACGGGUAGCCGGCCUGAGAGGGUGACCGGCCACAUUGGGACUGAGGUACGGCCCAGACUCCAACGGGAGGCAGCAGUGGGGAAUAUUGCACAAUGGGCGGAAGCCUGAUGCAGCAACGCCGCGUGCGGGAUGACGGCCUUCGGGUUGUAAACCGCUUUCACCUGUGACGAAGCGUGAUUGACGGUAAUGGGUAAAGAAGCACCGGCUAACUACGUG
This 468-nucleotide ribosomal RNA is filed under the name uncultured bacterium. Its description in RNAcentral is "partial 16S ribosomal RNA". It matches the Rfam family "Bacterial small subunit ribosomal RNA", at positions 28 to 507 of the family's 1533-position model. The record is from RNAcentral.